UUACACCUGAUCCCAUCCCGAACUCAGAAGUUAAGCCUUCCAGUACCGAUGAUACUUGGGCCGCAUCAAGCCCUGGGAAAGUAGGUCAGCGCCAGAA
Molecule: ribosomal RNA, 97 nt
Filed under: Patescibacteria group bacterium
Lineage: Bacteria
Source: RNAcentral